Molecule: ribosomal RNA, 756 nt
Filed under: uncultured bacterium
Lineage: Bacteria
Description: bacterial SSU rRNA
Rfam family: Bacterial small subunit ribosomal RNA
Source: RNAcentral
GCAAGUCGAACGGCAGCACGGGAGCAAUCCUGGUGGCGAGUGGCGAACGGGUGAGUAAAGUAUCGGAACGUGCCCAGUCGUGGGGGAUAACGUAGCGAAAGUUACGCUAAUACCGCAUACGAUCUAUGGAUGAAAGCGGGGGAUCGCAAGACCUCGCGCGAUUGGAGCGGCCGAUAUCAGAUUAGGUAGUUGGUGGGGUAAAGGCUCACCAAGCCGACGAUCUGUAGCUGGUCUGAGAGGACAGACCAGCCACACUGGGACUGAGACACGGCCCAGACUCCUACGGGAGGCAGCAGUGGGGAAUUUUGGACAAUGGGCGGAAGCCUGAUCCAGCCAUGCCGCGUGCAGGAUGAAGGCCUUCGGGUUGUAAACUGCUUUUGUACGGAACGAAAAGGUUUGGCCUAAUAAGCUGAGCUCAUGACGGUACCGUAAGAAUAAGCACCGGCUAACUACGUGCCAGCAGCCGCGGUAAUACGUAGGGUGCGAGCNGUUAAUCGGAAUUACUGGGCGUAAAGCGUGCGCAGGCGGUUAUGUAAGACAGAUGUGAAAUCCCCGGGCUCAACCUGGGGAACUGCAUUAGUGACUGCAUAGCUGGAGUACGGCAGAGGGGGAUGGAAUUCCCCGUGUAGCAGUGAAAUGCGUAAAUAUGCGGAGGAACACCGAUGGGCGAAGGCAAUCCCCUGGGCCUGUACUGACGCUCAUGCACGAAANCGUGGGGAGCAAACAGGAUUANAUACCCUGGUAGUCCACGCCCUA